GUAGGUGGCAAGCGUUGUCCGGAAUUGUUGGGCGUAAAGCGCGCGCAGGCGGUCCUUUAAGUCUGAUGUGAAAGCCCACGGCUCAACCGUGGAGGGUCAUUGGAAACUGGGGGACUUGAGUACAGAAGAGGAAAGCGGAAUUCCAAGUGUAGCGGUGAAAUGCGUAGAGAUUUGGAGGAACACCAGUGGCGAAGGCGGCUUUCUGGUCUGUAACUGACGCUGAGGCGCGAAAGCGUGGGGAGCAAACAGGAUUAGAUACCCUGGUAGUCCACGCCGUAAACGAUGAGUGCUAAGUGUUAGGGGGUUUCCCGCCCCCUUAGUGCUGCAGCUAACGCAUUAAGCACUCCGCCUGGGGAGUACGGCCGCAAGGCUG
Molecule: ribosomal RNA, 373 nt
Filed under: uncultured organism
Description: partial 16S ribosomal RNA
Rfam family: Bacterial small subunit ribosomal RNA
Source: RNAcentral